UGUUAGGGGGUUUCCGCCCCCUUAGUGCUGCAGUUAACGCAUUAAGCACUCCGCCUGGGGAGUACGGCCGCAAGGCUGAAACUCAAAAGAAUUGACGGGGGCCCGCACAAGCGGUGGAGGAUGUGGUUUAAUUCGAAGCAACGCGAAGAACCUUACCAGGUCUUGACAUCCUUUUGCCCUCCCUAGAGAUAGGGAUUUCCCUUCGGGGACAAAAGUGACAGGUGGUGCAUGGUUGUUGUCAGCUCGUGUCGUGAGAUGUUGGGUUAAGUCCCGUAACGAGCGCAACCCUUAAUAUUAGUUGCCAGCAUUCAGUUGGGCACUCUAAUGUGACUGCCGGUGACAAACCGGGGGAAGGUGGGGAUGACGUCAAAUCAUCAUGCCCCUUAUGACCUGGGCUACACACGUGCUACAAUGGAUGGAACAACGGGCAGCGAAGCGGCGACGCAUUAGCAAAUCCCUUAAAACCAUUCUCAGUUCGGAUUGUAGGCUGCAAUUCGCCUACAUGAAGCAGGAAUCGCUAGUAAUCGCGGAUCAGCAUGCCGCGGUGAAUACGUUCCCGGGCCUUGUACACACCGCCCGUCAAUCAC
Molecule: ribosomal RNA, 587 nt
Filed under: uncultured bacterium
Lineage: Bacteria
Description: bacterial SSU rRNA
Rfam family: Bacterial small subunit ribosomal RNA
Source: RNAcentral